Molecule: ribosomal RNA, 238 nt
Filed under: uncultured bacterium
Lineage: Bacteria
Description: partial 16S ribosomal RNA
Rfam family: Bacterial small subunit ribosomal RNA
Source: RNAcentral
CGGAACGGGUGAGUAACGCGUGAGGAACCUGCCUCAAAGAGGGGGACAACAGUUGGAAACGACUGCUAAUACCGCAUAAGCCCACGGCUCGGCAUCGAGCAGAGGGAAAAGGAGUGAUCCGCUUUGAGAUGGCCUCGCGUCCGAUUAGCUAGUUGGUGAGGUAACGGCCCACCAAGGCAACGAUCGGUAGCCGGACUGAGAGGUUGAACGGCCACAUUGGAACUGAGACACGGUCCAA